GAUGAACGCUGGCGGCGUGCCUAAUACAUGCAAGUCGAGCGAACAGAUGAGGAGCUUGCUCCUCUGACGUUAGCGGCGGACGGGUGAGUAACACGUGGAUAACCUACCUAUAAGACUGGGAUAACUUCGGGAAACCGGAGCUAAUACCGGAUAAUAUAUUUAACCGCAUGGUUCAAUAGUGAAAGACGGUUUUGCUGUCACUUAUAGAUGGUUCCGCGCCGCAUUAGCUAGUUGGUAAGGUAACGGCUUACCCAGGCAACGAUGCGUAGCCGACCUGGGAGGGGGAUCGGCCACACUGGAACUGGGACGCGGUCCAGACUCCUACGGGAGGCAGCAGUAGGGAAUCUUCCGCAAUGGGCGAAAGCCUGACGGAGCAACGCCGAGUGAGUGAUGAAGGUCUUCGGAUCGUAAAGCUCUGUUAUUAGGUAAGAACAACUGUGUAAGUAAAUAUGCCCGUCUUGACGGUACCUACUCAGAAAGCCCCGGCUAACUACGUG
This 497-nucleotide ribosomal RNA is filed under the name uncultured bacterium. Its description in RNAcentral is "partial 16S ribosomal RNA". It matches the Rfam family "Bacterial small subunit ribosomal RNA", at positions 28 to 507 of the family's 1533-position model. The record is from RNAcentral.